RNAcentral lists this long non-coding RNA (246 nucleotides) under Pan troglodytes (chimpanzee). Its description in RNAcentral is "long non-coding RNA NONPTRT018222". Lineage: Eukaryota; Metazoa; Chordata; Mammalia; Primates; Hominidae. The record is from RNAcentral.
CUACACGUGGGGCCUCAGAAAAGACUCAGAAUCCUUGACGCAGUUGCCCGAACCCGGAGCUAAGUUACCCGCAGGGCCAUUGGAAGCCCUCCCUGGCUUUAGGUUUCUCCUCCAGUGGAACCGGUAUGGUUUCUAGUGGUAAUAGACGUGUCAUCCAAAAUCUUGCAGUCCCCGCAGGCCUCCCUCUUAAUGAGACAACACUUGCAGCCUUGCUAAAGAAGCAAGGAUACAGCACGGGGCUUAUAG